UACAGAGGGUGCAAGCGUUGUUCGGAAUUACUGGGCGUAAAGCGCGUGUAGGCGGCUUAUUAAGUCGGACGUGAAAUCCCUUGGCUUAACCAAGGAACUGCGUCCGAUACUGUUAGGCUUGAGUGUCGGAGGGGGUGGCGGAAUUCCCGGUGUAGAGGUGAAAUUCGUAGAUAUCGGGAGGAACACCUGUGGCGAAGGCGGCCACCUGGAAGACAACUGACGCUGAGACGCGAAAGCGUGGGGAGCAAACAGG
This 253-nucleotide ribosomal RNA is filed under the name uncultured bacterium. RNAcentral describes it as "partial 16S ribosomal RNA". It matches the Rfam family "Bacterial small subunit ribosomal RNA", at positions 524 to 776 of the family's 1533-position model. The record is from RNAcentral.